This 73-nucleotide transfer RNA is filed under the name Histiona aroides. RNAcentral's name for it is "tRNA-Met". It matches the Rfam family "tRNA". From Rfam's summary of the family: Transfer RNA (tRNA) molecules are approximately 80 nucleotides in length. Their secondary structure includes four short double-helical elements and three loops (D, anti-codon, and T loops). Lineage: Eukaryota; Jakobea; Jakobida; Histionidae. The record is from RNAcentral.
UGCGAGAUAGAGCAGCGGUUAGCUCGUCAGGCUCAUAAUCUGAAGGUCGUAGGUUCGAUCCCUACUCUCGCAU